RNAcentral lists this ribosomal RNA (253 nucleotides) under uncultured bacterium. Its description in RNAcentral is "partial 16S ribosomal RNA". It matches the Rfam family "Bacterial small subunit ribosomal RNA", at positions 524 to 776 of the family's 1533-position model. The record is from RNAcentral.
UACGUAGGGGGCAAGCGUUAUCCGGAUUUACUGGGUGUAAAGGGGGCGCAGACGGCGAUGCAAGCCAGGAGUGAAAGCCCGGGGCCCAACCCCGGGACUGCUCUUGGAACUGCGUGGCUGGAGUGCAGGAGGGGCAGGCGGAAUUCCUGGUGUAGCGGUGAAAUGCGUAGAUUUCAGGAGGAACACCGGUGGCGAAGGCGGCCUGCUGGACUGCAACUGACGUUGAGGCCCGAAAGCGUGGGGAGCAAACAGG